RNAcentral lists this ribosomal RNA (254 nucleotides) under uncultured bacterium. RNAcentral describes it as "partial 16S ribosomal RNA". It matches the Rfam family "Bacterial small subunit ribosomal RNA", at positions 524 to 776 of the family's 1533-position model. The record is from RNAcentral.
UACGAAGGGGGCUAGCGUUGUUCGGAAUUACUGGGCGUAAAGGGCUCGUAGGCGGCCAUCUAAGUCGGACGUGAAAUCCCCAGGCUCAACCUGGGAACUGCAUCCGAUACUGGAUGGCUUGAAUCCGGGAGAGGGAUGCAGAAUUCCAGGUGUAGCGGUGAAAUGCGUAGAUAUCGUAAGGAAGACCAGUGGCGAAGGCGGGUCUCUGGACAGUUCCUGACGCUGAGGCACGAAGGUCAGGGGGAGCAAACGGG